GUGUGUCUGAGGGCGCUGCUGGGGGCUGGUUAUGUCUCUUUCCUCUCAGUGUGCAGUUGGUAGCUUUGAGCCGAACACGGUCACCCAGGUCUCUGGGUUUUCUCCUCUAAGCCAGCUGGUCUGGCUUUAUACCUUCUUCUAGUCCUCUUUUACUCCUUUGUUCCAUUUCAUCCCUUCUUUUCUGAGCUAAAGGAUAGAGUGAUCUGACCCACAGCUGGAGCUGUAGGGAACCUUCCUGGGGAAGAUAAUACAAGCAGCACUGGUGCUCUGUAAACCAAUGGACCUGAGGCCCUUAGAGACCACCCUGAUGAAACACUCAGACACAGACUGACUGACACAGAUGAGAGAGAGAUUGAGAUAAAGCCAGAAGGGAAGAGAGAGAACCGAAACCUGAAACGCAUGCAGGAGGAUCUGGGGCUGAAGCUUUGACAGAACAGAAGGAAGUGCAAGUAAUUGACUGGAGUGAAUGCCAGAAGAAUUGAGAGGGGAAAAUAAAGAGAAUAACUGCUGUGAGGAUUGAACGAGAAAGAGGAACAGGACUUUUGGGAUAGGAGAGAAAGAGAAGGAGUGAAGAUGGGGAGGAAAAGAUCCAGAUAGCACGGAUUAUGGAUGAACGCAACAGACAGGUAAAUGAACACACACACACU
Molecule: non-coding RNA, 647 nt
Organism: Salvelinus sp. IW2-2015
Lineage: Eukaryota; Metazoa; Chordata; Actinopteri; Salmoniformes; Salmonidae
Source: RefSeq, a predicted model, not a curated record